GAUAGAGUUUCAACACCGAAAAAGAUCCCAACAAUGAGGGGUGUGAGCAUGACAAGUGCACCAGGUGGGAUCAUCUCCUUGAUAGAUGCAUCAGUGGAGAUCUUAACACAGGUGGCAUAGUCAGGCUUGGCAGUGCCUUCCAUCAAGCCAGGGAUGGUGUUGAAUUGCCUGCGAACUUCCUCAACCAUCUUAAGUGCUGCACUUCCCACGCUCUUCAUUGUCAUGGCAGAGAACCAGUAAGGAAGCAUUGCACCCACAAUCAAACCAAUGAAAACUUUUGGAGUCAAUACAUCGACUGUU
Molecule: long non-coding RNA, 300 nt
Filed under: Populus trichocarpa (black cottonwood)
Lineage: Eukaryota; Viridiplantae; Streptophyta; Magnoliopsida; Malpighiales; Salicaceae
Description: long non-coding RNA (PTRI_LNC001693)
Source: RNAcentral